AGCAGUCGCCACGGUAAAACGUAGGUGGCAAGCGUUGUCCGGAAUUAUUGGGCGUAAAGGGCUCGCAGGCGGUUUCUUAAGUCUGAUGUGAAAGCCCCCGGCUCAACCGGGGAGGGUCAUUGGAAACUGGGAAACUUGAGUGCAGAAGAGGAGAGUGGAAUUCCACGUGUAGCGGUGAAAUGCGUAGAGAUGUGGAGGAACACCAGUGGCGAAGGCGACUCUCUGGUCUGUAACUGACGCUGAGGAGCGAAAGCGUGGGGAGCGAACAGGAUUAGAUACCCGUGUAGUCCCUGUCUCUUAUAC
This 303-nucleotide ribosomal RNA is filed under the name uncultured bacterium. Its description in RNAcentral is "partial 16S ribosomal RNA". It matches the Rfam family "Bacterial small subunit ribosomal RNA", at positions 507 to 807 of the family's 1533-position model. The record is from RNAcentral.